ACACAUGCAAGUCGAACGGAAAGGCCUCUUCGGAGGUACUCGAGUGGCGAACGGGUGAGUAACACGUGGGUGAUCUGCCCUGCACUCUGGGAUAAGCCUGGGAAACUGGGUCUAAUACCGGAUAGGACCAUGCUUUAGUGUGUGUGGUGGAAAGUUUUUUCGGUGUAGGAUGAGCCCGCGGCCUAUCAGCUUGUUGGUGGGGUAAUGGCCUACCAAGGCGGCGACGGGUAGCCGGACUGAGAGGUAGGUCGGCCACAUUGGGACUGAGAUACGGCCCAGACUCCUACGGGAGGCAGCAGUGGGGAAUAUUGCACAAUGGGCGCAAGCCUGAUGCAGCGACGCCGCGUGGGGGAUGACGGCCUUCGGGUUGUAAACUCCUUUCGCCAGGGACGAAGCGUUUUGUGACGGUACCUGGAGAAGAAGCACCGGCUAACUACGUGCCAGCAGCCGCGGUAAUACGUAGGGUGCAAGCGUUGUCCGGAAUUACUGGGCGUAAAGAGCUCGUAGGUGGUUUGUCACGUCGUCUGUGAAAUUCCACAGCUUAACUGUGGGCGUGCAGGCGAUACGGGCUGACUUGAGUACUGUAGGGGUAACUGGAACUCCUGGUGUAGCGGUGAAGUGCGCAGAUAUCGGGAGGACACCGAUGGCGAAGGCAGGUUACUGGG
This 665-nucleotide ribosomal RNA is filed under the name uncultured Actinomycetales bacterium. RNAcentral describes it as "bacterial SSU rRNA". It matches the Rfam family "Bacterial small subunit ribosomal RNA", at positions 51 to 733 of the family's 1533-position model. Lineage: Bacteria; Bacillati; Actinomycetota; Actinomycetes; Actinomycetales. The record is from RNAcentral.